RNAcentral lists this ribosomal RNA (293 nucleotides) under uncultured Alphaproteobacteria bacterium. RNAcentral describes it as "partial 16S ribosomal RNA". The record is from RNAcentral. Lineage: Bacteria; Pseudomonadati; Pseudomonadota; Alphaproteobacteria.
GGACUACUAGGGUAUCUAAUCCUGUUUGCUCCCCACGCUUUCGCACCUCAGCGUCAGUACCGGGCCAGUGAGCCGCCUUCGCCACUGGUGUUCUUCCGAAUAUCUACGAAUUUCACCUCUACACUCGGAGUUCCACUCACCUCUCCCGGACUCGAAGGUCGCCAGUAUCGAAGGCAGUUCUGGAGUUGAGCUCCAGGAUUUCACCCCCGACUUAGCGACCCGCCUACGUGCGCUUUACGCCCAGUAAUUCCGAGCAACGCUAGCCCCCUUCGUAUUACCGCGGCGGCUGGCAC